AUGACGUGGAUUGACUACAAAAAAGUCUUUGACUCACUCCCACACAGCUGGAUCAUCAAGUGCCUGGACGCCAUUGGGAUUAGUAAAAACGUUGGCACCUUCAUUGAAAACAUGAUGGAGCACUGGAAAACUGAACUGUUUGUUGGAAAUGAAAGCUAUGGACUUGUCAACAUCAGAAGAGGAACUUUCCAAGGAGAUUCAUUGUCCACUCUGCUUUUCAUUAUUGCCAUGAUCCCUCUGUCAACAAUCUUACAAAAAACAAAUCUCGGCUACCAAACAUCUAAGAAUUCUCACAAAAUUUCACAUUUGAUGUACAUGGAUGACCUGAAGCUGUAUGGGAAAACGCAAACUGAAAUCCAGUCUCUGACCAACACUGUCCGAAUUUUUAGCACUGAUAUCAACAUGGAGUUUGGUUUGGACAAAUGUUCAACAGUGGCAUUGAAGAAGGGAAAAAUCAUUGAAAAUGAUGGCAUAAAUAUGCCCAAUGGCCAAACAAUAAAGUGUCACCAGCCAGAGGCCUAUAAAUAUCUGGGCAUAUUACAGCUGGACAACAUCAAGCAUGAACAUGUGAAAACUGUGGUCAGCAAAGAAUACACACAAAGGGUCAGAAAAAUUCUCAAAAGCAAGCUCAAUGGAGGCAACACCAUCAAGACCAUAAACACCUGGGCCAUACCUGUCAUAAGAUAUACUGCUGGCAUUAUAAAUUGGACACAGGCGGAACUGGACAAUUUGGACAGAAAAACAAGAAAACUCAUGACCAUUCAUCAUUCACUGCACCCUCGCAGUGAUGUUGACCGGCUCUAUCUGCCUAGAAGAUCAGGGGGCAGAGGACUCUUACAAGUAAAACAAGCAGUCAAAGAAGAAGAACAUGCCCUGGCAGAAUAUGUAAAGCAAAGUGAAGAACCUGCUUUGAUUGAAGUCAAAAAUCAGAAACUCCUCAAAACACAACAGACAAAAAACCAGUACAAGAAAACUGCACUACAAACUAGAGCUGACAGCUGGCACAACAAAACACUGCAUGGAAAGUUCCUUGACAAAAUUGAAGGAAAAGCUGAUAAGGAGAAGACCUGGCUCUGGCUCACAAAUGGGACCCUGAAGAAGGAGACAGAAGGCCUGAUCCUUGCAGCCCAGGAGCAAGCCAUCAGAACAAAUGCAAUUAAGGCCAAAAUCGAAAAAUCAGCUGAUGACCCAAAAUGCAGACUGUGCAAGGAAGCUGACGAAACCAUUGAUCAUCUCCUCAGCUGCUGUAAGAAAAUUGCACAGACAGACUACAAACAGAGGCACAACUGUGCGGCCCAAAUGAUCCAUUGGAACUUAUGCCUCAAGUACCACCUGCCAGCAGCAAAGAAGUGGUGGGAUCACAAACCAGCAAAGGUCGUGGAAAAUGAACACGCAAAGAUACUGUGGGACUUCCGAAUCCAGACUGACAAAGUUCUGGAACACAACACACCAGACAUCACAGUUGUGGAAAAGAACAAGGUUUGGAUCAUUGAUGUUGCCAUCCCAGGUGACAGUCGCAUUGAUGAAAAACAACAGGAAAAACUCAGCCGCUAUCAGGACCUCAAGAUUGAACUUCAAAGACUCUGGCAGAAACCAGGGCAGGUG
Anolis carolinensis (green anole) is the source of this 1605-nucleotide long non-coding RNA. NCBI's taxonomy places the organism in Eukaryota, Metazoa, Chordata, Lepidosauria, Squamata, Anolidae. The record is from Ensembl.